RNAcentral lists this ribosomal RNA (465 nucleotides) under Vreelandella stevensii. RNAcentral describes it as "partial 16S ribosomal RNA". It matches the Rfam family "Bacterial small subunit ribosomal RNA", at positions 338 to 795 of the family's 1533-position model. Lineage: Bacteria; Pseudomonadati; Pseudomonadota; Gammaproteobacteria; Oceanospirillales; Halomonadaceae. The record is from RNAcentral.
CCUACGGGAAGCAGCAGUGGGGAAUAUUGGACAAUGGGGGCAACCCUGAUCCAGCCAUGCCGCGUGUGUGAAGAAGGCCCUCGGGUUGUAAAGCACUUUCAGUGAGGAAGAACGCCUGGUGGUUAAUACCCAUCAGGAAAGACAUCACUCACAGAAGAAGCACCGGCUAACUCCGUGCCAGCAGCCGCGGUAAUACGGAGGGUGCGAGCGUUAAUCGGAAUUACUGGGCGUAAAGCGCGCGUAGGUGGCUUGAUAAGCCGGUUGUGAAAGCCCCGGGCUCAACCUGGGAACGGCAUCCGGAACUGUCAAGCUAGAGUGCAGGAGAGGAAGGUAGAAUUCCCGGUGUAGCGGUGAAAUGCGUAGAGAUCGGGAGGAAUACCAGUGGCGAAGGCGGCCUUCUGGACUGACACUGACACUGAGGUGCGAAAGCGUGGGUAGCAAACAGGAUUAGAUACCCUAGUAGUC